CAGCCUACAAGUCCUUUACUGACGCUAAAGCUCGAAGGUGCGGGUAUCGAACAGGAUUAGAUACCCUGGUAGUCCGCACGGUAAACGAUGGAUGCCCGCUGUUUGCGAUAUAGUGUGAGCGGCCAAGCGAAAGCGUUAAGCAUCCCACCUGGGGAGUACGCCGGCAACGGUGAAACUCAAAGGAAUUGACGGGGGCCCGCACAAGCGGAGGAACAUGUGGUUUAAUUCGAUGAUACGCGAGGAACCUUACCCGGGCUUGAACUGCAGCAGAACGAUUGAGAGAUCAUGAGGUCCUUCGGGACUGCUGUGGAGGUGCUGCAUGGUUGUCGUCAGCUCGUGCCGUGAGGUGUCGGCUUAAGUGCCAUAACGAGCGCAACCCCUCUCUUCAGUUGCCAUCACUUCGGGUGGGCACUCUGGAGACACUGCCACCGUAAGGUGUGAGGAAGGUGGGGAUGACGUCAAAUCAGCACGGCCCUUACGUCCGGGGCUACACACGUGGUACAAUGGGUGGUACAGAGCGUCGGCCGCCGGCAACGUCGGUCCAAUCGUGAAAUCCAUCCUCAGUUCGGACUGGGGUCUGCAACCCGACCCCACGAAGCUG
This 601-nucleotide ribosomal RNA is filed under the name uncultured bacterium. Its description in RNAcentral is "bacterial SSU rRNA". It matches the Rfam family "Bacterial small subunit ribosomal RNA", at positions 722 to 1328 of the family's 1533-position model. The record is from RNAcentral.